Molecule: long non-coding RNA, 537 nt
Filed under: Olea europaea subsp. europaea
Lineage: Eukaryota; Viridiplantae; Streptophyta; Magnoliopsida; Lamiales; Oleaceae
Source: RNAcentral
GGAAGAGAAACAAUAGUAAGGAAGAUGAAUCAUACAGGAAUAUCUUCGUUCCAAUUCUCAAAUGCCACAAGGAAAAAGAUUGUAUGGUUAAGCAAAUUCACAUGUGCAAAAGCAAACAACUCCAUUGAGAAAAAACAACUCCAUUGGGAAGGGAAAGGUAAAGUAAAUAAUAAUAUGUACACCAAAUAAAUUACCAUCGCUUUGAAAAUAGUCAAUCAUGGCAGUCUUUCAAAUCUGUUAAGUCUUCACCAAAUCAAAAACUCAAAGCAGUUGAUUGGAGAGUCUACACUUUUACCUGCUUCAAUUCAGUUAAGAUUCCAAUUUUGCGAUGUAUAGAAAUCAUGAAGAGGAAAAAAAUCGUAAUCGUAAAGGCCAAAAGAAUCUUACAGAUAUGGAAACAAACAGUAAACCCAUCCACCAUGCCGAGGAUUCAUAGCAAAUAAAUCUGCACAAGAUGUCGAGAAAUUAGAGCUGAGAGAAUAGCGGAUAGAAAGAUUAUACAAAAAGAGAGGGAAAAAAAAAAAAGAAAAAAAAGAC